This is a non-coding RNA of Myotis davidii, 76 nucleotides long. The record is from Rfam. NCBI's taxonomy places the organism in Eukaryota, Metazoa, Chordata, Mammalia, Chiroptera, Vespertilionidae.
GGUGGUUCUUGGGUGACACACCCCUGAAUUGGGCUCCCUCCUCUCUGGUUCAGGGAUGUGUCACCCAAGAACCACU